GAUGAACGCUGGCGGCGUGCUUAACACAUGCAAGUCGAGCGGAAAGGCUCCUGCUUGCAGGGGUACUCGAGUGGCGAACGGGUGAGUAACACGUGGGUGAUCUGCCCUGCACUUCGGGAUAAGCCUGGGAAACUGGGUCUAAUACCGGAUAGGACCACAUUUUGGAUGGUGUGGUGGAAAGUUUUUCGGUGUGGGAUGAGCUCGCGGCCUAUCAGCUUGUUGGUGGGGUAAUGGCCUACCAAGGCGUCGACGGGUAGCCGGCCUGAGAGGGUGUACGGCCACAUUUGGACUGAGAUACGGCCCAGACUCCGACGGGAGGCAGCAUGGGGGAAUAUUGCACAAUGGGCGCAAGCCUGAUGCAGCGACGCCGCGUGGGGGAUGACGGCCUUCGGGUUGUAAACUCCUUUCGCUAGGGACGAAGCGUUUUUGUGACGGUACCUGGAGAAGAAGCACCGGCUAACUACGUG
Molecule: ribosomal RNA, 467 nt
Filed under: uncultured bacterium
Lineage: Bacteria
Description: partial 16S ribosomal RNA
Rfam family: Bacterial small subunit ribosomal RNA
Source: RNAcentral